CCCUGACCACAGGGGGCAAGGACACC
RNAcentral lists this non-coding RNA (26 nucleotides) under Homo sapiens (human). Lineage: Eukaryota; Metazoa; Chordata; Mammalia; Primates; Hominidae. The record is from RNAcentral.